Molecule: long non-coding RNA, 401 nt
Organism: Scylla paramamosain (green mud crab)
Lineage: Eukaryota; Metazoa; Arthropoda; Malacostraca; Decapoda; Portunidae
Exons: 5
Source: RefSeq, a predicted model, not a curated record
CCCCAGUGACCUCGCCGCCGCCGCCGCCGCCGCUCACCUGCCGAGGGAGGAGACCAGACGCCUAGGCGGAAACCAAGACUCCGGCCCUCACACCGCCUGCUGCAGACUCCUCAGGGAAUCGGGGAGACAAAGGGUGGAGUUUCUGAGGCUGCCUGUCGUUGUGGAAAGCUUGAAUACUUGCCUCUGUCCUCGUGUGUCCCUCGCAACAAGAAGGUGCGGCGGCGUCAGCGAUCCUCUAUCUUUAUAUACGAGUCACGAGUCCCUGGAAGCUGCCCGACCACUUGGAAACAGGUUGGCACUGCCGCCCGCCGCUGCCUCACUCACUGCCGGCCCGGUAUGUCAUUGACCUAACCCUCAGUAAGGACCUGGAGUAAGUACCCGCUGAGAUCUUUUCUCCUCCC